Molecule: ribosomal RNA, 480 nt
Filed under: uncultured Chloroflexota bacterium
Lineage: Bacteria; Bacillati; Chloroflexota
Description: bacterial SSU rRNA
Rfam family: Bacterial small subunit ribosomal RNA
Source: RNAcentral
GGCCCAUCAGGUAGUUGGCGGGGUAAUGGCCCACCAAGCCGCUGACGGGUAGCUGGUCUGGGAGGAUGACCAGCCAGACUGGGACUGAGACACGGCCCAGACUCCUACGGGAGGCAGCAGCAAGGAAUUUUCGGCAAUGGGCGCAAGCCUGACCGAGCAACGCCGCGUGGAGGAUGACGGCCUUCGGGUUGUAAACUCCUUUUGGGGGGGAAGACCCUGACGGUACCCCCCGAAUAAGCCCCGGCUAACUCUGUGCCAGCAGCCGCGGUAAGACAGAGGGGGCAAGCGUUGUCCGGAGUUACUGGGCGUAAAGCGCACGCAGGCGGUCGCGCGCGUGUGGGGUGAAAGCUCUGGGCUUAACCCAGAGUCGCCCCCGCAUACGGCGCGACUUGAGCCCGGGAGAGGUCCCUCGAAUUGCCGGUGUAGUGGUGAAAUGCGUAGAGAUCGGCAGGAAGACCAAGGGGGAAGCCAGGGGACUGG